CAACCCUCAGGCCCUGGUUGCCUGGUGUUGGGGCGCCGCGGCCCAUCAGCGGCCGCGGGCCCCCAAAGUCAGUGGCGGGCUCGCCAGGACUCCGAGCGCAGUAGUUUACACCCUCGCUGCGGAGGACCUGGCGGGUUUCCCGGCCGUAAAACACCCCAAAUCUUACAA
This 168-nucleotide unclassified non-coding RNA is filed under the name uncultured Togniniaceae. RNAcentral describes it as "sequence contains ITS2". The record is from RNAcentral. Lineage: Eukaryota; Fungi; Ascomycota; Sordariomycetes; Diaporthales.